RNAcentral lists this long non-coding RNA (543 nucleotides) under Homo sapiens (human). RNAcentral describes it as "HSALNT0340968". The record is from RNAcentral. Lineage: Eukaryota; Metazoa; Chordata; Mammalia; Primates; Hominidae.
GAUGAUGUGACUCCCCUUUCCUGCAUGGGCCCUACGUACACAAGGGAUUGUGACAUAUUGCUGGGCCAAGCACCAAGGUGAUCUGGCUCUUGACUAGGUUCUUCCUAAAGUGGGCUUUGUGACAUAUUACUAAACCUAGCAUAAAGGUGAUAUGGCUUUCCUGCGUGGGUCCUGCCCAUGGAGGGAUAUUGAUAUUUCCCCAGCCCAGCAUUCAGCCAAUAGAUGAAAAAAGAUUCAAGGAAGACACAUUUGCUUUUUAUUCACUCAUCACUUCCCAUCACUAUGCUGACCAGAGUCAAUGUGAGCAGAGUUGAGAAUAGCAGUUUUCUGGCAGGAGAGCCACUUCUCAGCAAAAAAUGACACACUCAAAGUAUAAAUCUUUCAUGGAAGGCUCACAUAUUUUCAGCAAAUUAAGCAUAUGCAUGAAUAAAAUUCUUGUGGUGAAAUAAAGAUUCAUUUUAUUGAUUCCUAUUGAGCUCAGGUAAUAUUGGAUGAAAAGCAAAAAAAUUAUUUGAAAUAGAAAUAUUGUGAAUAAAGUUAUUG